This 329-nucleotide ribosomal RNA is filed under the name Capnocytophaga sp. W1501. Its description in RNAcentral is "partial 16S ribosomal RNA". It matches the Rfam family "Bacterial small subunit ribosomal RNA", at positions 106 to 434 of the family's 1533-position model. Lineage: Bacteria; Pseudomonadati; Bacteroidota; Flavobacteriia; Flavobacteriales; Flavobacteriaceae. The record is from RNAcentral.
GUGCGUAACGCGUAUACAAUCUGCCUUUCACUGGGGGAUAGCCCGAAGAAAUUUGGAUUAAUACCCCAUAGUAUAGUAAURYGGCAUCRYRAUACUAUUAAAGCYACGGUGGUGAAAGAUGAGUAUGCGUUCUAUUAGCUAGUUGGAGAGGUAACGGCUCCCCAAGGCGAUGAUAGAUAGGGGUUCUGAGAGGGAUGUCCCCCACACUGGUACUGAGAUACGGACCAGACUCCUACGGGAGGCAGCAGUGAGGAAUAUUGGACAAUGGUCGGAAGACUGAUCCAGCCAUGCCGCGUGCAGGAUGAMGGYCUUAUGGRUUGUAAACUGCU